UAGUUUUUCUGUGUUUGUUUGUUUGUUCUUUAGUGCCCUCUGCUGACAUUACGUUGUGUUUCUCUGUCUGUGUGUGUGUGUGUGUGUGUGUGUGUGUGCCGACUAGAACUUCCGUUCAGAGAGACUAAAGCGAGCUGGCAGGUACGGCAAAUCAACAAGCACAGUCGCUGAUCAUCAGCCUGUACAUGAACUGAUCUGUGAGGGAAUGUUUGAUGUAUAUCUGUGCUGAACCUCUGUGUUCCCGCAGGGCGGCUGAUGAAGAUGUGAUGGACAAAGACCAGAUCCUCAUGGAGAAGGAAGCUGAGCUGAGACGCAUGCAGCAGAUGAUCGCUCAGAUGCAAGCUCAGAUGAAGAUGAAACCAGGAGACGACUAAGUGUGUGUUUGUGUUUAUGUGUCUAUCUGUGUGUUGUGGGAACCGGAAGUGCCAUCUGACUGGAGUUACAUUAUCCUACCCAUUUCUAAACACUAUUUGCUUGUCCAAUCCCUCAUGUUUAUCAGAUUAAUGGAGCGUAACGUUAAUGUCGUCUAAUUGAUGUAACCAAUCACUCACGAUCACAGCUCCACCCAUAUGAAUAACUGCAACACUGAAACAAACAGUCCAUUAUCAUGUCAUUUAAUCUAUCGGGUUAGACGCUGUUAAUAAUUUAUGGUUUCAUUGACAAUGUUCAGCAGAGCACUAAUUCCAAGUAUGGGUCACCAUACUUGGCCACAUGUCACGUCACUUUCACUUUCAUAUGUUCAUCUGCAGAUUGAUCAGGGUUUGUGGUCUGCUGGAGACUAGAUGUUUUUCUGUGCCAAACACUCUUUUUAAGCUGCUUGUUUUGAACCAGUCAUGCAUCAGGCUGGCAUAUGUUUACCAGAUCUCCUUGUCAAUACUUUAUAAAGCAUAUAUAUAUUACUUUGACUGCGGAUACAUGGGUUAAAAUAAGAGGACGAUGCACUAGUAAAUGAACCUGGUCAAGUUUACAGUUUUAUCAGAUGCACGGGUUCAUAAUCGUCGUGAAUUAAUAUCAGAGUUUGCUGGACUGGUUUAUGAAAAAGUGGUCGUGUUUAGCACAUACAAAUUUCAUCACAAAAAGUAUCACUAACAAAGAAACAGAUGCUCUCAUCAUAUGCAUAGUGUUGAUUUGAGCUGCAUUGGGCAGCGCUUCCCUCUAGUGGACUACAGAAAAACAACCUGAAGUACUAUAGAAGGCACAUAAACGUGACACUUUGCCUGCAUCGUGAAAAAACUAAGACUACAAUUGGACAAUCUCUUGACAUCAUGUUUGCAUUUUGUCAAUAAUACAAUAUCUGAUCAUCUUUUUGAAAGAGAAAUCUGUUAAUAGAGCGGCUCAGCAAAUGUAUAUGUGUUCACCUUUCUUAGAGAGUGUGAAUCUAGUAAAGUGAUGGUAAAGUUACGUUUAUUGUGGACUCACUGGUUCAGCUGCCAGUUUACAUUUUGAUUCACAGAAAUGCCUUAAAACGCCAUUUAGAGACAUGGUGCACACAUUUCUCUUCUUUUAUACUUAUUAUGGUUUGGGUUUUUUUCUAUCAUUUUUAUUGCUUGAUCUUCACUUUAUUUACUACUUAAACAUUAACAUCUACUGCAGUGAUCUUUAUAUUUCUUGGUUAGCAGCUGGGGCCUUUAUAGCUGUAUGUUUUAAAAGUUCAUCAAAACGGUACAAGGUCUAAGAAACGGACUGAAACGCACCAUCACUGCCUGCACAUCGAUGUCCGAGUCAUUUUACAGCAUUGUAGUGAGUUAUUUGCUAAUUAUUAAUGUCUGCUGUAAACACACUGAUUCUGAUUUGUUGUAUUUGUGGUUCAGCCCACUUAUUUUGACUCGGUUAUCUCCUGUUUAGGCCUUUUUUAAAGGAUUAACACAGUUGUCGUUGUGCGGUACAGUAAUGCUUACUUCCCUGUUUUACAUGGUCCUUUUUGUAUUUGCUCAUGUUGAGAAAUAAAUAACUUUCUGAGUCAUUUGUUUUGAACGCUUUAGUUUCCUGCAAGCAUAAAGUCUCAGAAAUGGUUUGUGGAUUUGUGUAAAUUUCAUCCAUUUCUGUUUGUACACCGUAAAUAAUAUUUUGCUCAACAGUGAAAUUUUAUUAUGCUUUUUUGAUUCAUCAUUUUUGACUAGUUUAAUUGACCCUGCAAAUUAUAUGAAUCUUUCAAUUAAAGACUGUA
This is a long non-coding RNA of Sinocyclocheilus anshuiensis, 2167 nucleotides long. The record is from Ensembl. NCBI's taxonomy places the organism in Eukaryota, Metazoa, Chordata, Actinopteri, Cypriniformes, Cyprinidae.